GGGUGCNUGGCGCAGUUGGUAGNCGCGUCUCCUUUGCAUGGAGAAGGUCAUCGGUUCGACUCCGGUUGUGUCCA
RNAcentral lists this transfer RNA (74 nucleotides) under Zygosaccharomyces bailii CLIB 213. RNAcentral describes it as "tRNA-Ala (TGC) (tRNA-Ala-TGC-2-1)". It matches the Rfam family "tRNA". Rfam says of the family: Transfer RNA (tRNA) molecules are approximately 80 nucleotides in length. Their secondary structure includes four short double-helical elements and three loops (D, anti-codon, and T loops). The record is from RNAcentral. Lineage: Eukaryota; Fungi; Ascomycota; Saccharomycetes; Saccharomycetales; Saccharomycetaceae.